GUCGUCAUCGUAUAGUGGUCAGUAUCCCCGCCUGUCAACACGGUGACAUCUCGAUGUCCCGAGAUCUGAACGCGGGAGGCCGGGGUUCGAUUCCCCGUGACGGCG
This 105-nucleotide transfer RNA is filed under the name Volvox carteri f. nagariensis. It matches the Rfam family "tRNA". From Rfam's summary of the family: Transfer RNA (tRNA) molecules are approximately 80 nucleotides in length. Their secondary structure includes four short double-helical elements and three loops (D, anti-codon, and T loops). Further hydrogen bonds mediate the characteristic L-shaped molecular structure. tRNAs have two regions of fundamental functional importance: the anti-codon, which is responsible for specific mRNA codon recognition, and the 3' end, to which the tRNAs corresponding amino acid is attached (by aminoacyl-tRNA synthetases). tRNAs cope with the degeneracy of the genetic code in two manners: having more than one tRNA (with a specific anti-codon) for a particular amino acid; and 'wobble' base-pairing, i.e. permitting non-standard base-pairing at the 3rd anti-codon position. Lineage: Eukaryota; Viridiplantae; Chlorophyta; Chlorophyceae; Chlamydomonadales; Volvocaceae. The record is from Rfam by way of RNAcentral.